GCAGAUGUUUGUGGUGCAGCUGUCCGCCGGAGCCGCAAGGCGAAGGCGGGUGGAGGAAAGUCCGGACUGUACAAGACAAGGAUAGCGGUUAACGGCCGCCGGGGGCAACCCCAGGAUUAGAGCAACAGAGACGAGACAUGCGGUUCGCCGCAUGGGUGAAACGAGCAAUCUCUAUCCGCAGCAACCCCAAAUAGGUUCCCAUACGCGGGUCUUGACGCGGGAACGGGUAGGGGGCUUGACGCCCGCGGCAACGCGGAGCGCAGACGAAUUGCAUCACGCGACAAAAUCCGGCUUAUAGAGCAUCUGUAAAA
This 311-nucleotide RNase P RNA is filed under the name Rickettsiales bacterium. Its description in RNAcentral is "RNase P RNA component class A". It matches the Rfam family "Bacterial RNase P class A". Rfam says of the family: Ribonuclease P (RNase P) is a ubiquitous endoribonuclease, found in archaea, bacteria and eukarya as well as chloroplasts and mitochondria. Its best characterised activity is the generation of mature 5'-ends of tRNAs by cleaving the 5'-leader elements of precursor-tRNAs. Lineage: Bacteria; Pseudomonadati; Pseudomonadota; Alphaproteobacteria; Rickettsiales. The record is from RNAcentral.